AUUGAACGCUGGCGGCACGCCUAACACAUGCAAGUCGAGCGGCAGCAUGCUUAGUAGCAAUACUAAGUGAUGGCGAGCGGCGGACGGGUGAGGAACACGUAGGAACCUGCCCAAGAGAGGGGGAUAACUAAGGGAAACUUUAGCUAAUACCGCAUAAUCUCUGAGGAGAAAAGCUGCCCGCAAGGGUAGCGCUUUUGGAGGGGCCUGCGUCCGAUUAGCUAGUUGGUGAGGUAAUGGCUCACCAAGGCGAUGAUCGGUAACUGGUCUGAGAGGACGACCAGUCACACUGGGACUGAGACACGGCCCAGACUCGUACGGGAGGCAGCAGUGGGGAAUCUUGGACAAUGGGGGCAACCCUGACCCAGCGAUGCCGCGUGGGUGAAGAAGGCCUUCGGGUUGUAAAGCCCUUUAGGCUGGGAAGAAGUGUGCGGGGUGAAUAAUCCUGUACAUUGACGGUACCAGCAGAAUAAGCACCGGCAAACUCUGUGCCAGCAGCCGCCGUAA
Molecule: ribosomal RNA, 504 nt
Filed under: uncultured bacterium
Lineage: Bacteria
Description: partial 16S ribosomal RNA
Rfam family: Bacterial small subunit ribosomal RNA
Source: RNAcentral